RNAcentral lists this ribosomal RNA (253 nucleotides) under uncultured bacterium. RNAcentral describes it as "partial 16S ribosomal RNA". It matches the Rfam family "Bacterial small subunit ribosomal RNA", at positions 524 to 776 of the family's 1533-position model. The record is from RNAcentral.
UACAGAGGUCUCAAGCGUUGUUCGGAUUUAUUGGGCGUAAAGGGUGCGUAGGCGGCAGGGAAAGUUACGUGUGAAAGGCCCGAGCUCAACUCGGACAUUGCAUAUAAUACUACUCUGCUUGAGCGCUAGAGAGGAGGCUGGAAUUUACGGUGUAGCAGUGAAAUGCGUAGAUAUCGUAAAGAACACCAGAGGCGAAAGCGAGCCUCCAGAUAGCAGCUGACGCUGAGGCACGAAAGCUGGGGGAGCAAACGGG